Molecule: ribosomal RNA, 1253 nt
Filed under: metagenome
Description: bacterial LSU rRNA
Rfam family: Bacterial large subunit ribosomal RNA
Source: RNAcentral
UACACGACCGUACCGCAAACCGACACUGGUGCGCGAGAUGAGUAUUCUAAGGCGCUUGAGAGAACUCAGGAGAAGGAACUCGGCAAAUUGACACCGUAACUUCGGAAGAAGGUGUGCCUUUAGUAGGUGAAGUCCCUCGCGGAUGGAGCCCAAUGAGGUUGCAAAGAAUCGGUGGCUGCGACUGUUUAUUAAAAACACAGCACUCUGCAAACACGAAAGUGGACGUAUAGGGUGUGACGCCUGCCCGGUGCUGGAAGAUUAAAUGAUGGGGUGCAAGCUCUUGAUUGAAGUCCCAGUAAACGGCGGCCGUAACUAUAACGGUCCUAAGGUAGCGAAAUUCCUUGUCGGGUAAGUUCCGACCUGCACGAAUGGCGUAACGAUGGCCACACUGUCUCCUCCUGAGACUCAGCGAAGUUGAAAUGUUUGUGAUGAUGCAAUCUCCCCGCGGAAAGACGGAAAGACCCCAUGAACCUUUACUGUAGCUUUGUAUUGGACUUUGAACAGAUCUGAGUAGGAUAGGUGGGAGGCUUUGAAGCAGGGUCGCUAGAUCUUGUGGAGCCAACGUUGAAAUACCACCCUGGUGUGUUUGAGGUUCUAACCUAGGCCCGUAAUCCGGGUUGGGGACAGUGCAUGGUAGGCAGUUUGACUGGGGCGGUCUCCUCCCAAAGUGUAACGGAGGAGUUCGAAGGUACGCUAGUUACGGUCGGACAUCGUGACGAUAGUGCAAUGGCAUAAGCGUGCUUAACUGCGAGACUGACAAGUCGAGCAGAUCGAAAGCAGGACAUAGUGAUCCGGUGGUUCUGUAUGGAAGGGCCAUCGCUCAACGGAUAAAAGGUACUCUGGGGAUAACAGGCUGAUACCGCCCAAGAGUUCAUAUCGACGGCGGUGUUUGGCACCUCGAUGUCGGCUCAUCUCAUCCUGGGGCUGUAGCCGGUCCCAAGGGUAUGGCUGUUCGCCAUUUAAAGAGGUACGUGAGCUGGGUUUAAAACGUCGUGAGACAGUUUGGUCCCUAUCUUCCGUGGGCGCUGCAGAUUUGAGGAAGCCUGCUCCUAGUACGAGAGGACCGGAGUGGACGCACCUCUGGUGUAUCGGUUGUCACGCCAGUGGCAUUGCCGAGUAGCUAUGUGCGGAAGAGAUAACCGCUGAAAGCAUCUAAGCGGGAAACUCGUUUCAAGAUGAGAUCUGCCGGGGCCUUGAGCCCCCUGAAGAGUCGUUCAAGACCAGGACGUUGAUAGGUCGGGUGUGGAAGCUAG